Molecule: long non-coding RNA, 2865 nt
Filed under: Amborella trichopoda
Lineage: Eukaryota; Viridiplantae; Streptophyta; Magnoliopsida; Amborellales; Amborellaceae
Description: long non-coding RNA (ATRI_LNC003612)
Source: RNAcentral
UGAAUGAAAUCUUGGGUUCCCCCCAUUACCUCCAAGUCAAGAAUGCUCUUUCCAUAGCUUUCGAACAAACACAUACAAACUGAGCUUUAUGGAGAGUCCGUCUGGGAUUAAGGUGGAGUUUCUUUCUAUUACAUGCAUUCUUCAUGUUUUAUUUGCAUUAACAUGGUUGCAUUUUGUUGAGUGAAAUUCAUUCUCUUUCUCCUCUUUUGUUUUCUCUGUCUCUUCCGAUACAAACUUCCCCAAAAAAAGAAAAAACAUAAAGAGCUGAAUGUACCUAGGCAAUUUCCAUUUACACUAGGCAAUAUCUAAACAAUUCUUAGACAUGCUUAGCUGAAGUGCUCUCAAUCAACUAUGGAGUAGCCAUGUUAAUGCUUUUCUAAAUCAAAUUUGAAUUCUAACAUCCUUCUCAUUUGAGCAUGGAUUGGCUAUGCAUGGAAAAUGGUUUGUGGCCCCAUCUGCCAUAUUUAUUUCCUCCUAUUCCAAUAUGGCUUCUUGUUUUUAGCUGUUAUAUGUAUUGGUUUUAACGCCAUAUGUUGUGACUGUUUGGGGGCAUAGCUUUUAUUUAUUUCUCAAUUAUAAUAGAUAGUGUGUGUCUCUUGUAAUUUUUAUCAUUAUUGAUUUUUAUUUAUAUUUGAGAUAACUUUUGAGAUUUGGGGUUUGACAAUCUCUGUCUUCUUCUUUCUUGCAAUGCUGAUGAAGGAAAUCUUGGGUUCCACCCUUUACCAGGUCAAGGAUGCUCUUUCAUAGAUUUCGAACAUACAAACUGAUCUUUAAGGAGUCCCUCUGAGAUUAAGGUGGAGUUUCUUUCUAUUAUAUGCAUUCUUCAUUUUUUAUUUGCAUUAACAUGGUUGCAUUUUGUUGAGUGAAAUUCAUUCUUUUUCUCCUCUUUGUUUUCUCCUUCUUUUCCGAUAUAAACUUCCUCAAACAAAGAAAAAAGAUAUAGAGCUGAAUGUCCCUAGGCAAUUUCCAUUUACACAUGGCAAUAUCUAAACAAUUCUUAGUCAUGCUUAGCUGAAGUGCUCUCAGUCGACUAUGGAGUAGCCAUGUAAAUACUUUUCUAAAUCAAAUUUGAAUUCUUACAUCCUUCUCAUUUAAGCAUGGAUUGGCUAUGCACAGAAAGUGGUUUGUGGCCCAAUCUGCCAUAUUUAUUUCCUCUUAUUCCAGUAUGGCUUCUAGUUUUUAGCUGUUAUGUAUGAAAAGUGGUUUGUGGCCCAAUCAGCCACAUUUAUUUCCUUUUAUUCCAAUAUGGCUUAAGUUAUUCUAAUGUGUAUUGGUCUCAAUCGACUAUGGAGUAGCCAUGUAAAUGCUUUUCUAAAUCAAAUUUGAAUUCUAACAUCCUUCUCAUUUAAGCAUGGAUUGGCUAUGUAUGGAAAGUGGUUUGUGGCCCAAUCUGCCAUAUUUAUUUCCUCUUAUUCCAAUAUGGCUUCUGUUUUUAGCUGUUAUGCAUGGAAAGUGGUUUGUGGCCCAAUCUGCCAUAUUUAUUUCCUCUUAUUUCAAUAUGGCUUAUGUUAUUCUGAUGUGUAUUGGUUUUAACGCCAAAUGUUGUGACUGUUUGGGGGCAUAGCUUUUAUUUAGUUUUCAAUUAUAGUAGAUAGUGUGUCUCUUGCAUUUUUUUAUCAUUAUUAAUUUUUAUUUAUAUUUGUAAGAUAGCUUUUGUGAAUUGGGAUUUGACAACUUCUUUCUUGCAGUGCUAAAUAAGGAAAUCUUGGGUUCCCCCCAUUACCAGGUCAUGGAUGCUCUUUUCAUAGCUUUCGAACAAAUACAUACAUACUGAGCUUUAUGGAGAGUCCCUCUGGGAUUAAGGUGGAGUUUCUUUCUACUAUAUGCAUUCUUCAUUAUUUAUUUGCAUUAACAUGGUUGCAUUUUGUUGAGUGAAAUUCAUUCUCUUUCUCUUUGUUUUCUCUUUCUCUUCCGAUAUAAACUUCUUCAAAAAAAAAAAGAAAAGAUAAAGAGCUGAAUGUACCUAGGCAAUUUCCAUUUACACCAGGCAAUAUCUAAACAAUUCUUAUGCAUGCUUAGCUGAAGUGCUCGCAGUCAACUAUGGAGUAGCCAUGUUAAUACUUUUCUAAAUCAAAUUUGAAUUCUAACAUCCUUCUCAUUUAAGCAUGCAUUGGCUAUGCCUGGAAAAUGGUUUGUAGCUCAAUUUGCCAUAUUUAUUUACUCUUAUUCCAAUAUGGUGUUUUUUUUUUUAGCUGUUAUGGCCUCUAUUUGGAUAUAAGAUGGUGCCACAGACAUGGGAUGAGUUUUUUAUGAAGGUAGCAUAAAUUUUAAAAGUAAGGGAUAUAAGAUGUGUCAUCUUUUUUUGUGAUUGAUGAGCGUGAAUGUCUCUUAAAUUUUUAGUUGAUGAUGUUCAAUUUGCUUCUAUAGCAAUGAACAUUGUAAAAGUUUUGUUUUCGCAAUUUCUGAAGGGCAAAUGUAUUAUUUCUUGUAAAAUAGGUAUGGACCAUGAGAGGUUAUUGGAUUGGAACUGGACCAUACAAAUUCUACAAAGCUAAGUCUUUGCACUAUUGGAGGGGCUGAAAUUGUAUGAUUAUAGAUGGGAUCCCUCCAUUGCGGUGGAAGGGGAUUCAAUGAAGAGCACGUAUACUAUGCUCCCUCAGGAGUAUAGUUUACUUUUUCUACCUUGUUCAGAUGACCUAUUAAGGAAUUUUUCAAUCUAAAAUUUUGGAUGAUUAUUUAAAAAAAAACAAACUUUGAAAUUUGAGUUUUCUAACACUUAAAUCUUAUCCUCUAAAAAUUGGACGUUCUUGGGCAUUAAAUCAAUACAAUCACAAGCUGCCAAUGAACCGGUAAUUUGUAUGUUCUUGGGCAUUAAAUUAGUUGAAAUGUUCAUCGAAGUUACUAAUUGUGUCAAGUAGUCUUGUC